Molecule: ribosomal RNA, 165 nt
Filed under: Veronica syriaca
Lineage: Eukaryota; Viridiplantae; Streptophyta; Magnoliopsida; Lamiales; Plantaginaceae
Description: 5.8S ribosomal RNA
Rfam family: 5.8S ribosomal RNA
About the family: 5.8S ribosomal RNA (5.8S rRNA) is a component of the large subunit of the eukaryotic ribosome.
Source: RNAcentral
UAAACGACUCUCGGCAACGGAUAUCUCGGCUCUCGCAUCGAUGAAGAACGUAGCGAAAUGCGAUACUUGGUGUGAAUUGCAGAAUCCCGUGAACCAUCGAGUCUUUGAACGCAAGUUGCGCCCGAAGCCUUCAGGCCGAGGGCACGUCUGCCUGGGCGUCACGCA